AACAUUCAACAAAUAUGAAUUGUAAUAGACACUUUUGUCCCGAACGAUUUCAGAUGUUUUACAGAAAAUUAUGGUUUUGUUUCCCUAGACCUGAAAAUGUUUGGGAGAGCAAAUCACGUGUCAGUUGAGGAGACAAAUAUUUCUGAAGCCAAAAUGGAGUCACGUCAGACUGACGACACUGAUGCAGUUCCCAGUGUCAAAAGCAAAGUCAAAGCACGUCACAGCAGCCGAUCUGGAGCUACGUCACUGGACAAACUGGAAUUGGAAGGAUCAGUUGGUGCAAGUCAAUGCUUCAGAUUGCUGCCUCAGUUCAGGGAUGACAGUGUUUCAGAUGGACCUUUACCAAGGCUCAGAAGAACAAAGAGUGUCUUUAUGAACGACAUAAUUCCAGAAUGCUCAGAAGAGCUCUAUGAUUCCUUAGAUAGUGGAGAAGAAUACAUUCCCAACUCUGAGUCAAGUGAAGAUAGCUUAUCAGAUGUUAGUUCAGUUACCAUAGCUAAAUUGAGUCCAAGGAAGAAAGUCCUCCGAGACAUUGCUUCUACAUCAAAACAUAUUGUUCCUGACAGCACUACUGUAAAUAAGGAAGAUGGAGAUAGCAGCGAGGCUGAGUGUGAGUGGACAGACGAUGAAGACUGUGCUGGCACCAGUCAGCGACCUGUUCGGAGAAAUGCUCCGGCAUGUGUGGAGGGGCAGAUGCAUGUUCCUGCUGUUAAGAAGAACAAUGGAAAAAGAGUGUAUAACAAGAGACACUACUGCCUGUACUGUGAGAAGUCAUGCAGCAAAAUUGCAAGACAUCUUCAACUGAAGCACUCUGAUGAAGGUAAAGUCCUGGAAGCCUUCAGUUUUCCAAAGGGCUCAAAGAAAAGAAAACUUCAUCUUGAUUUAAUAAGGAACCAAGGUAAUUUUGCACAUAAUGCAGCUGUCAUGAAAAAGGGGGAAGGAGAACUUGUUGCUUGCAAACGACCAUGCAAGGACAGUAAGAGAGAUGACUACAUGCACUGUGCCUACUGCCAGGGGCUUUUCAUUCGUAAGAUUCUUUGGCGACACAUAAAAGUGUGCCAGUUCCGAUCAAAAGAGGCCAGACCACAACGUGGAAAAAACAAAGUACAAGCUCUCUGUAGUUUUGCAGAACCAGCUCCAGAUGACAUUAGUGAACGAAUAUGGAAGCUGCUCAGUGUUAUGCAGGCUGAUGAAAUCACAAGUGCUGUAAAAAAUGAUCGUCACAUCAUCAGAAUUGCAGAGCAGUUGCUAAACAAAAAAGGAUCAUCUGAUGCAUCUCAAGCCUACAUUAGGCAGACUCUGAGAGAACUUGGAAGACUGUUGAUUGCUGCGUGA
Molecule: long non-coding RNA, 1335 nt
Filed under: Gouania willdenowi (blunt-snouted clingfish)
Lineage: Eukaryota; Metazoa; Chordata; Actinopteri; Blenniiformes; Gobiesocidae
Description: lncRNA (ENSGWIG00000016538.1)
Source: RNAcentral